CAGUAGCCGCGGGAAUACGGAGGAUCCAAGCGUUAUCCGGAAUCAUUGGGUUUAAAGGGUCCGUAGGCGGUCUUGUAAGUCAGUGGUGAAAGCCCAUCGCUCAACGGUGGAACGGCCAUUGAUACUGCAGGACUUGAAUUAUUGGGAAGUAACUAGAAUAUGUAGUGUAGCGGUGAAAUGCUUAGAGAUUACAUGGAAUACCAAUUGCGAAGGCAGGUUACUACCAAUUGAUUGACGCUGAUGGACGAAAGCGUGGGUAGCGAACAGGAUUAGAUACCCCGGUAGUCCCUGUCUCUUAUAA
This 301-nucleotide ribosomal RNA is filed under the name uncultured bacterium. RNAcentral's name for it is "partial 16S ribosomal RNA". It matches the Rfam family "Bacterial small subunit ribosomal RNA", at positions 509 to 809 of the family's 1533-position model. The record is from RNAcentral.